RNAcentral lists this ribosomal RNA (207 nucleotides) under uncultured bacterium. RNAcentral describes it as "partial 16S ribosomal RNA". It matches the Rfam family "Bacterial small subunit ribosomal RNA", at positions 568 to 774 of the family's 1533-position model. The record is from RNAcentral.
CACGUAGGCGGAUCUUUAAGUCAGAGGUGAAAUCCCAGGGCUCAACCCUGGAACUGCCUUUGAUACUGGGGAUCUCGAGUCCGGGAGAGGUGAGUGGAACUGCGAGUGUAGAGGUGAAAUUCGUAGAUAUUCGCAAGAACACCAGUGGCGAAGGCGGCUCACUGGCCCGGAACUGACGCUGAGGUGCGAAAGCGUGGGGAGCAAACA